CAGUAGCCGCGGUAAUACGUAGGGUGCGAGCGUUAAUCGGAAUUACUGGGCGUAAGGCGUGCGCAGGCGGUUAUAUAAGACAGAUGUGAAAUCCCCGAGCUCAACCUGGGACCUGCAUUUGUGACUGUAUAGCUAGAGUACGGUAGAGGGGGAUGGAAUUCCGCGUGUAGCAGUGAAAUGCGUAGAUAUGCGGAGGAACACCGAUGGCGAAGGCAAUCCCCUGGACCUGUACUGACGCCCAUGCACGAAAGCGUGGGGAGCAAACAGGAUUAGAUACCCGCGUAGUCCCUGUCUCUUAUAC
RNAcentral lists this ribosomal RNA (301 nucleotides) under uncultured bacterium. RNAcentral's name for it is "partial 16S ribosomal RNA". It matches the Rfam family "Bacterial small subunit ribosomal RNA", at positions 509 to 807 of the family's 1533-position model. The record is from RNAcentral.